CCUACGGGUGGCAGCAGUGAGGAAUAUUGCACAAUGGACGCAAGUCUGAUGCAGCAACGCCGCGUGGAGGAUGAAGGCCUUAGGGUCGUAAACUCCUUUUUUCGGGGAAGCGGUACCCGAAGAAUAAGUCACGGCUAACUACGUGCCAGCAGCCGCGGUAAUACGUAGGUGGCAAGCGUUAUCCGGAAUUACUGGGCGUAAAGCGCACGCAGGCGGUCUUUUAAGUUUGACGUGAAAGCUCUCGGCUUAACUGGGAGAGGUCGUUGAAUACUGGGAGACUUGAGGAAAUGAGAGGGGUGUAGAAUUCCCGGUGUAGUGGUGGAAUGCGUAGAUAUCGGGGGGAAUACCAGUGGCGAAAGCGGCACCCUAGAUUUUCUGACGCUCAUGUGCGAAAGCGUGGGGAGCGAACGGGAUUAGAUACCCUAGUAGUC
This 431-nucleotide ribosomal RNA is filed under the name uncultured bacterium. Its description in RNAcentral is "partial 16S ribosomal RNA". It matches the Rfam family "Bacterial small subunit ribosomal RNA", at positions 338 to 795 of the family's 1533-position model. The record is from RNAcentral.